GGUGGGCCAAAAAGUUCGUUCGGGUUUUUCCUUAACACCUUAUGGAAAAACCCAAACAAACUUUCUGGCCAACC
RNAcentral lists this microRNA precursor (74 nucleotides) under Tursiops truncatus (common bottlenose dolphin). Its description in RNAcentral is "miRNA (ENSTTRG00000025135.1)". The record is from RNAcentral. Lineage: Eukaryota; Metazoa; Chordata; Mammalia; Artiodactyla; Delphinidae.